GGCUCUCCACGCCCGGGUCCGAGCCUCCGGGGCUUGGGGAGCGCAAAUAGAUCUCGGCGAGCAGCGGAAGCAGCCGGUGGCGCCUCGGGCUGCGGUGGCGACGAGCCCGACUGCACCACGGCGCUGCGGGACCGCGCCAGCGCGGAGGAGACGGAGCCCAUCUCAGCGGGCCGGGCUGGGCCCAGGCCUCUGACCUCAUCCAUCAAGCACAGGAGAGCUCCCUCCGGAUUUCCACCAGUGGGUGCUCAGCCCAGUGUGCACUGAGGGGCAUUAGAAAGAUCUUCUGACUCACCUAGCCAAAUCUUGUAAGCUUGUCACCAACUGGAGGACUUUGGAUCCUGAAGUUUUACCAUUGACAAUGUUGAAUUUUACCUGAGGCCUGUGUUCCUGGAAAAGAGUGAAGGUGAAGAAAUCCUCACCCUUUUGUGUUCUGGAAAACAGCUUACUACAAAAAAAACACCCUUCCCCAAACAACUUGGAAAAGACUCAAGGAUGCCCCUUUGCUUACCUAUGACAAGGCUAGACACUAACACCCCAAAUUCCCGUUCUUUGCCUCAUAAGCAACUAGCUGGACUAUUUUCAUCCCCACUGAUCAAUUGGACAAAAUGCCUGUUAACCAGACUCCUUGGUCAGGUUGGGGAAACUAGAAUCAACCAGAAUGUUAGUGGCAACAGAGCCCAGAGUAGGGUCCAAGUCUUCCACCCCAGGCUCCAUCUCCUUCCAGCACAACCACAGGUACCAUUUUCACCAGCUUCAUGGCUCUAUCUCAUUUUCAGCCUUCUUCUAACUACUCUCUGCUGAGGUAGUCUAACAAUUCCCAAGAGAGUUCAGAGGGCUCCAGAGAAGACCCCAAACUCCUAUAGUGUAUCACCCCCUUAUCCAUAGGGAAUACAUCCCAAGACCCCCAGUAGAUGCCUGAAAUAGUGAACCCUAUAUAUGCUAUGUUUUUUCUUAUACAUACAUACCUAUGAUAAAGUUUAACUUAUAAAUUAGGCACAGUAAGAGAUUAACAACAAUAACUAAUAAUAAAAUAGAACAACUAUAACAAUAUACUGUAAUACAAGUUAUAUGAAUGUGGUCUCUUUCUCUCUCUCAAAAUAUCUUGUUGUACUGUACUCCCCCUUCUUGUGAUGACUUGAGAUGACACAAUGCCUAUGUGAUGAGAUGAAGUGAGGUGAAUGACGUAGGCCUUGUGACAUACUGUUAGGCUACUAUUGUCCUUCUCACAAUGUCAGAAGGAAGAUCAUGGAGCCAUGAUGGUGGCAAUGAAAGGUUAUAGGUAUUAUUCACCCUCAUUCUGUAUCCAAACAAAACAAGGGCUUAAAAGCUCAAAUGGAUUGCACAAACCUAAGUGAUGGGUAAGGAUACGCACAAGUCUAGCUCCAGAUCUCGGGUCUUCUGACUCCAACCAAUGUUCUGUCUGCUGUAAAAAUCAAAAAGAAACUUUUAAGUUGAAUCUUUGAGCCAUCUAUUUAUUCCAACUUACCAACCAGUGUAGGACUUCCUUCCAUAGGGCUCUGACAAAAAAAGUAAAAUUAAAAUUUAUAGCCCCUCCUUAAUGUCUCAGUAAUGAAGAGUUCAUUACUUUUUUAUAAUAUAUUCUUUUUCUAAUUAUUAAAGUAAUACACACUCAUGGCAUAAAAUUUGGAAACUACAGAAAAGCAUAAAGAAUAAAAUGUAAACUACCCAUAAUCCCACCACAUUGACAUAUCCUUUAUUUUCUACUUGCUAUUAAAAUACAAAUGAAGUAUAUGUUGACUUUUUAGUGGUAUUACACAGGAUAAUAUCCAAGAUAUGAUUUAUAUUACUUUUUGGAAUAGUGUCUUCCAAUCAUAUAUAUCCAUCCAAUCAUAUACACCCAGUCCAAUAUAUCUGUAUUUUACAGAAUUAGAAUCAUACUUUAAUUACUAAUUUGUGACCAGAUUUUCUCCCUUAAUAUAUCAUCUUCAGAAUAUAAUUUAAAAUUUCCAUAAAACAUUUGAAUUGUUUACAAGAUAUUCAUUCAUUCUUUGACAUACCGUAACUUACUUAACUUCUACCCCAAUGUUGGUCAUUUAGAUUGUUGCUAUUUUUCAGAAUUACAAAAAUAACAUGGAAUGAACAUUAAUCUACUAGCCUAUUCCUGUGAUAGUUUAUUCACUGCAACUUUAUAAUAAGUUUUAAUAACAUUUUCCAAAAUCUUCUUGGAUAUUCUUACUCAAAUUUUCCUCUAGACACUUUUUUAUAACAUCCUCCUAAAAAAAUGAGAUAUUAUUUGAAAUGCAGUAAAUAUUACAGAUUAGUCUAAAGAGAUUUGAUAAAUUGACUCUUCUCAUUUCUUUUCAAAGCAGUCUACUUAUCAAUUAGACAGAAAAAAUUUUUUAAAAGCUGUUCUUAUUAAUGGUUCUAGACAAUAAUCAUCAAUGGCCCCUAAUAUCACAAGAGAGACAAGACCACCAACCAGAACAUGCCUCCUGAUGGAGGUUUAUAACACCACCUGUGAAGUGUCUUGCCAAAAAAAAAUCAAACCUGAAUUUGACCAGGCUUCUAGAUCUACUACCAAUUUAUAGGAAAUACGGAGAACAGAGGGUCGUGGCAAAUGACACCGCAGGGUUGCAAUCAGCAAAGUCUAGACUGAAAUUUUACAGGACAAGCAACUGAUUUCUUCAACAAAUAAAUUGCAAGUGGAGGCAGGGGAGAAUCUUAUACAUUAAAGCCAUUUAAGAAACAUGUCAACCAAUUGUAAUGUAUGAACUUUAUUUGGUUCCUGAUUCAAGCAAACUACUACCAAAAAACUUUGUACAAUAAUUGGAAAAAUGUAAAAACUAUCUGGAUAUUUGAUGAUGUUAAGAAAUUAUUGUUAAUAUUUUAGAUGAAAUAAAUUUUAUGCUUAAUUUUUUAUAAACAUUCUUUGACUUUAAAGAUGCUUACUGAAAUGUUUACAGAUGAAAUGAUAUGUCUGGGAUUUGCUUCACAUUAACCAGAGUAAAGGCAUGAGGGGUGUAGAGAUGA
This 2991-nucleotide long non-coding RNA is filed under the name Equus caballus (horse). Its description in RNAcentral is "lncRNA (ENSECAG00000049372.1)". Lineage: Eukaryota; Metazoa; Chordata; Mammalia; Perissodactyla; Equidae. The record is from RNAcentral.